This is a long non-coding RNA of Rattus rattus (black rat), 564 nucleotides long. RefSeq lists it as uncharacterized. The transcript has 2 exons. NCBI's taxonomy places the organism in Eukaryota, Metazoa, Chordata, Mammalia, Rodentia, Muridae. The record is from RefSeq and is a predicted model, not a curated record.
AAAAAAAAAAAGGACUUCCAUAAUAAAGGGCUUGCCUAUCUUGCCUGAGGCCCUGGAUUCAACCCAGCACCACCACAUAAACUGGAGUAAUCGAACUCCAGUGGGCAGUAGACAGGAGGUAGAGGUAGGAGGAUCAGAGUUUAAGGUCAUUCUUUGCUGGGAUACCGAAAUUCUGUCUCAAAAAACAGGAUGAAGAGAAAGCUGCUGGCUAGAAAUGGCACUCCGUGGCACGGGCAGAACGCUGUAUUCAACCUCCAACACCAAGAAGAUGGAAACCCCACAAAUCUCAAGGCUGGGCAUGGUGGCUCUUGCUUGUAAUUCCAGCUCUCCAAAAGGAAGCUGCAGCAGGAUUGCCUUGAACUUGAGGCUAGCCUGGGCUACAUACAGCGUGUGACUGUCUUAAAAACAAAAACAAAGCAAGCCAGUUGUAGUACCACAAAGCUAUGAUCCUGGCACUUGGAAGGAAGAUAUGAAGCUCAAGGUCAUCCCCAGCUACACAUGGAGUUAAAGGUGACUGGCGGGCACUACGUAUGGAGUUAUUAAAGGCCAGCCUGUGCUACAUGA